Molecule: ribosomal RNA, 584 nt
Filed under: uncultured bacterium
Lineage: Bacteria
Description: bacterial SSU rRNA
Rfam family: Bacterial small subunit ribosomal RNA
Source: RNAcentral
GACGAACGCUGGCGGUGUGCUUCACACAUGCAAGUCGAACGGGGUAGCAAUACCUAGUGGCGGACGGGUGAGUAACGCGUGGGAAUCUGCCUUUAGAUGGGGGAUAGCUAGCCGAAAGGCUAAUUAAUACCGCAUAAGCGCAUAGCUCGACAGGGUUAUGCGUAAAAGGAGUAAUCCGUCUAUAGAUGAGCCCGCGUCCGAUUAGCUAGUUGGUAGGGUAAAAGCCUACCAAGGCUACGAUCGGUAGGUGGUCUGAGAGGAUGAUCACCCACAAUGGAACUGAGACACGGUCCAUACUCCUACGGGAGGCAGCAGUGGGGAAUUUUACGCAAUGGGCGAAAGCCUGACGUAGCGACACCGCGUGAGCGACGAAGCCCUUUGGGGUGUAAAGCUCUGUCGGCUGGGACGAAAAAAAUGACGGUACCAGCAAAGGAAGCAUCGGCUAACUACGUGCCAGCAGCCGCGGUAAGACGUAGGAUGCAAGCGUUGUCCGGAUUUAUUGGGCGUAAAGAGUUCGUAGGCGGUUUGUUAAGUCUGAUGUUAAAGAUCAGGGCUCAACCCUGAGAGUGCAUUGGAUACUGGCA